UUCUUCCACCUUGCCUCUGACACCUCAGGGCAGUGAAGGCUUUGAUAUGCGUGAGGAGGCAUCGGGUCAGCAGAUGGAGGAGUCCAGGCCCUGUUCUAGGCAAGAUAAGUACUCUGAGUGAAGUUUGAGGGAACCACCCACCACAGAUUGGAGGGACUCCCACAGAGUCCAACCCCUGAUUUCAGCCCUGUUAGAUCCCAGACAGGGAUCAUUUGAUUUAGUACCUUCUGAAUUCCCUCAGUGAGGACUCUGGGAGCUGAGAGUCAGCAGAUGGAGGCGUCCAGGCUCUGCCACACGUUAAGCCUACUCAACACAAAGAAGAUGAAUAUGAAGACCUUUGUGAUGAUCCACUUCACUUAAUGAAUAGUUGUAGGCAAAGCCAGCUGCCAUUUCAUAAGAACACUCAGGCAACACUAUGGAGCUGUUCAUUGGCAAGGAAAUUAGUUCUCCUGCCGUAACCAGCAAGGAACUGAAGCUCUUGCUAACAGCUAUGUGAAUUAGUUAUUUUGGAAGCAGAUCCUCCAACUCCAGUCAAGCCAGCUGACAUACAGCACUAGCUGACAUCAUGAUUGCAACCAUGUGAGAAGAUUCGGGUCAGAGCCACCCAGAUGCUGAAACCUGAAGUCAGCAGGGAAGUCAGGAAGAGGAGAUGAUGCAAAGCAGAGGAAGCAAGGAUAAAUGGAAUCCAUGAGGACUAUCUGGAGCUCUCAAGGACUGACUGGGACCCAUGUUGAUCUUCCACUGCCUCCAAACCUCCAAUUUCAAUGACAUCAAUGCCCUGAAAAAAAAAAGUGGGCGUUCUUUUUUAUGGAGCUGGUGAAGAAGGAGGAAGAUAUGAGGGAGAACUGGAGCAAUUGUGGGCCCAACUGCUGCCUCACACCAAGCAGAGAACCCUGAAGGAAGAGGUGCCAGGAGAGAUGAAAGGAAAUAUCAUGGGAAUGGAGUGCUGUUCAGCCUGCGGAAUGUCUGGAAUAUCUGAGAAGCAGCAGGACAACAGUCGAUGCCUCUAGGUAGAUGUGCCUUCUGACAAAGCGAAGAUGGGUUGGUAAACAAAAUGUUAACAUUUUAAGGAAAAUUACCUGUUUAUUACUUUUUCUAGCAUGGCCUUUGAAAAUGCAAAGCAAUAAUUGUCCUUUUGAAAAUGGAUUUCCAAAAGCAUUGAAAAAUAAUUUUGCUUACCAACACUUUAUCUUAUUCUGAUGUAACCUCAAGCAAUGCUUCAUCAUUUAAGUCCCUGUCUCAAUGAGAGUACUGGAUUGCUUUGGAAACUAUAUUAUUCGAUGCUGAAGAAAAUAACAAUCGAAGCUGAAUAUCAGUAGCAUCAUCAUGCUGUCCUGAAUAUGAGGCUAUGUGUGUUCUGUCACCCCAAGCCUCCUUGUUCUUAUUCAGUAUAAAUAUAUGCUUUUUUAGGUUUUUCCAUGCACAAAGGCAGUGGUCAUUGAGG
RNAcentral lists this long non-coding RNA (1444 nucleotides) under Homo sapiens (human). Its description in RNAcentral is "HSALNT0281176". Lineage: Eukaryota; Metazoa; Chordata; Mammalia; Primates; Hominidae. The record is from RNAcentral.